GGCAAAAGUGCUAACCACCAAGCACACUGUGCACCCCAAGCAGAAGAUAUGUUAUCUAUAAAACAGGAUUGAGAAUUCACUUAAGUUUUGUAGGAUUGUGAUUUUAUUGAGACAGGCUUGAGUGAUAAUCUGACCUCUCAGCAGCACCAAAAUAUCCAAAGACAGUAGCUGAGGCACUGGAAGCACAGCAGCCAUCUUUUAUUUACAAGACAAGAGCUGUGAUGGUGGGUUUGGACUAAAGUGGAGACACAAGAUCCUUCACCUCACUCGGAGGAAGAUAUCUUCAGGCUUCAGCCUGUCAGCAUUUUGACUGGGGCUGCUUCAGGUACUGUACUCUGCUGACACUGAUGGUUUCACCGUGCACAUCCCAUGCACUCAGGCUGAAAACUCAACCUGGCAUUUUCCUGGAGCUGGAUUGGAGACAGUGGAGACGGAGCACUCUCGCACUGACAGCUCACCGUCUCUCUGGUAUUAAUCACAGCAUCUCCGUCUCGCCACGGGGGAAAUCUCCACCGCAACUCUUCACUUCAUCUGGAAUUAAUGCAAGAUGUCGGAGAAGGAUGGGAGAUUCUGAGCUGCCAAGAAUGGAAAGUCAGGUCACGGAAGGAGGAUACAGAGAGAAGAAGUAAAUAAAUUCUUUACAUUAGGAAUUUAUAUCCAGGUUGUAUGGUGCUUGAGAGAACAACUGCCCAAGCAGGAUUCAACUUUAAAAAAGCACUGAUUUACACACAACGUAAUGAUGCAUUGUUUGGAAUUAAUGCUAUUUAAUACUUGUGGUUUGUAUGUCCUUCCACUGGUAGUUAUUAGACUUCUGGCAUGGACAGCAGAAAGGUGCAAAGAGGAAGGGUGGAAGCACAAGAAAUUGGUUACAUAGUGUGAAGUAAGGUUUGAAAGAGUGAAUGAAAAGAGGAUAAAUGCAGUGAAAAGGAUGACUGAGGUGGUUUAAGGUGGAACAUGAAGUUUUAUGGGUUAUAGUGUGGACCCAACUUAAUUUUUUUGUAAGGAGCCAAAUCAGUAUGCUCUCACACAGAAAUACUGAAACUUCUGCGUCUGUGCUUUCAGAAAUUAUUUAGGCUGUGGACUGACCAUCAUCACAAACAGCGAUAAGUACAAAAAGCCGAAUCUGUUUAUCUACCCGCUAAACGUGCUCAGUGGUAGCUAUUUUCUCAAUGUAAGAGAAUUGAAUGUCUCAAAUCCUUUAGCAUAUCAAAGACAAAAGAUACAUUCUGCAUUGUCAAGAUACACAAUGUAACAGUUC
Molecule: long non-coding RNA, 1258 nt
Organism: Amphiprion ocellaris (clown anemonefish)
Lineage: Eukaryota; Metazoa; Chordata; Actinopteri; Pomacentridae
Source: Ensembl